This 30-nucleotide non-coding RNA is filed under the name Rattus norvegicus (Norway rat). The record is from RNAcentral. Lineage: Eukaryota; Metazoa; Chordata; Mammalia; Rodentia; Muridae.
UGACUUCCUUAGAGCUAAUUUCUUCCAGGA